This 75-nucleotide transfer RNA is filed under the name Burkholderiales bacterium. Its description in RNAcentral is "tRNA-Asn". It matches the Rfam family "tRNA". Rfam says of the family: Transfer RNA (tRNA) molecules are approximately 80 nucleotides in length. RNAcentral also lists the same sequence under 3 other names. Lineage: Bacteria; Pseudomonadati; Pseudomonadota; Betaproteobacteria; Burkholderiales. The record is from RNAcentral.
UCCCCGGUAGCUCAGCGGUAGAGCAGACGACUGUUAAUCGUCUGGUCGUUGGUUCGAUUCCAACCCGGGGAGCCA